CAACCUGCCGUCUACUCUUGGACAGCCUUCUGAAAGGAAGAUUAAUACAAGAUGGCAUCAUGAGUCCGCAUGUUCACAUGAUUAAAGGUAUUCCGGUAGACGAUGGGGAUGCGUUCCAUUAGAUAGUAGGCGGGGUAACGGCCCACCUAGUCUUCGAUGGAUAGGGGUUCUGAGAGGAAGGUCCCCCACAUUGGAACUGAGACACGGUCCAAACUCCUACGGGAGGCAGCAGUGAGGAAUAUUGGUCAAUGGGCGCAGGCCUGAACCAGCCAAGUAGCGUGAAGGAUGACUGCCCUAUGGGUUGUAAACUUCUUUUAUAAAGGAAUAAAGUCGGGUAUGGAUACCCGUUCGCAUGUACUUUAUGAAUAAGGAUCGGCUAACUCCGUGCCAGCAGCCGCGGUAAUACGGAGGAUCCGAGCGUUAUCCGGAUUUAUUGGGUUUAAAGGGAGCGUAGAUGGAUGUUUAAGUCAGUUGUGAAAGUUUGCGGCUCAACCGUAAAACUGCAGUUGAUACUGGAUAUCUUGAGUGCAGUUGAGGCAGGCGGAAUUCGUGGUGUAGCGGUGAAAUGCUUAGAUAUCACGAAGAACUCCGAUUG
This 595-nucleotide ribosomal RNA is filed under the name uncultured Bacteroidota bacterium. RNAcentral's name for it is "bacterial SSU rRNA". It matches the Rfam family "Bacterial small subunit ribosomal RNA", at positions 122 to 715 of the family's 1533-position model. The record is from RNAcentral. Lineage: Bacteria; Pseudomonadati; Bacteroidota.